Molecule: ribosomal RNA, 402 nt
Filed under: uncultured bacterium
Lineage: Bacteria
Description: bacterial SSU rRNA
Rfam family: Bacterial small subunit ribosomal RNA
Source: RNAcentral
UGGGGAAUCUUGCACAAUGGGGGCAACCCUGAUGCAGCGACGCCGCGUGAGCGAUGAAGCCCUUCGGGGCGUAAAGCUCUUUCGACCGGAACGAUAAUGACGGUACCGGGAGAAGAAGCUGCGGCUAACUACGUGCCAGCAGCCGCGGUAAUACGUAGGCGGCAAGCGUUGUUCGGAGUUACUGGGCGUAAAGAGUGCGUAGGCGGUUUUCUAAGUUCGGUGUGAAAUCUCCCGGCUUAACUGGGAGGGUGCGCCGAAGACUGGGAAGCUGGAGUGUGGGAAAGGCAGGCGGAAUUCCUGGUGUAGCGGUGAAAUGCGUAGAUAUCAGGAGGAACACCGGCGGUGUAGACGGCUUGCUAGACCAUAACUGACGCUGAGGCACGAAAGCGUGGGUAGCAAACA